RNAcentral lists this ribosomal RNA (1047 nucleotides) under Mesomycoplasma flocculare. Its description in RNAcentral is "bacterial SSU rRNA". It matches the Rfam family "Bacterial small subunit ribosomal RNA", at positions 1 to 1028 of the family's 1533-position model. Lineage: Bacteria; Bacillati; Mycoplasmatota; Mycoplasmoidales; Metamycoplasmataceae. The record is from RNAcentral.
AAUCAUGAGAGUUUGAUCCUAGCUCAGGAUGAACGCUAGCUGUGUGCUUAAUACAUGCAUGUUGAACGGGAUAGUAUUUUAGUUUUACUAAAGUAUUGUUUUAGUAGCAAAUGGGUGAGUAACACGUACCUAACCUACCUUUUGGACUGGGAUAACCAUUGGAAACAGUGGCUAAUACCGGAUAUAAUAAAAAUUCAUAUGAAUUUUUAUGAAAAGGAGCGAAAAUAAGCUCCACCAAAAAAUGGGGGUGCGCAACAUUAGUUAGUUGGUAGGGUAAAGGCCUACCAAGACGAUGAUGUUUAGCGGGGCCAAGAGGUUGUACCGCCACACUGGGAUUGAGAUACGGCCCAGACUCCUACGGGAGGCAGCAGUAAGGAAUAUUCCACAAUGAGCGAAAGCUUGAUGGAGCGACACAGCGUGCAGGAUGAAGUCUUUAGGUAUGUAAACUGCUGUUGUAAGGGAAGAAAAAAUUAGGUAGGAAAUGAUCUAAUCUUGACGGUACCUUACUAGAAAGCGACGGCAAACUAUGUGCCAGCAGCCGCGGUAAUACAUAGGUCGCAAGCGUUAUCCGGAAUUAUUGGGCGUAAAGCGUUCGUAGGUUUUUUGUUAAGUUUAAGGUUAAAUGCUAAAGCUCAACUUUAGUCCGCUUUAGAUACUGGCAAAAUAGAAUUAUGAAGAGGUUAGCGGAAUUCCUAGUGGAGUGGUGGAAUACGUAGAUAUUAGGAAGAACACCAAUAGGCGAAGGCAGCUAACUGGUCAUAUAUUGACACUGAGGGACGAAAGCGUGGGGAGCAAACAGGAUUAGAUACCCUGGUAGUCCACGCCGUAAACGAUGAUCAUUAGUUGGUGGCAGAAGUCACUAGCGCAGCUAACGCGUUAAAUGAUCCGCCUGAGUAGUAUGCUCGCAAGAGUGAAACUUAAAGGAAUUGACGGGAACCCGCACAAGCGGUGGAGCAUGUGGUUUAAUUUGAAGAUACGCGUAGAACCUUACCCACUCUUGACAUUCUCGCAAAACUAUAGAGAUAUAGCGGAGGCUAACGAGAUUAC